Molecule: ribosomal RNA, 497 nt
Filed under: uncultured bacterium
Lineage: Bacteria
Description: partial 16S ribosomal RNA
Rfam family: Bacterial small subunit ribosomal RNA
Source: RNAcentral
GAUGAACGCUGGCGGCGUGCCUAAUACAUGCCAGUCGAGCGAACGGACGAGAAGCUUGCUUCUCUGAUGUUAUCGGCGGACGGGGGAGUAACACGUGGAUAACCUACCUAUAAGACUGGAAUAACUUCGGGAAACCGUAGCUAAUACCGGAUAAUAUUUUGAACCGCAUGGCUCAAAAGUGAAAGACGGUCUUGCUGUCACUGAUAGAUGGAUCCGCGCUGCAUUAGCUAGUUGGUAAGGUAACGGCUUACCAAGGCAACGAUGCAUAGCCGACCUGAGAGGGUGAUCGGCCACACUCGAACUGAGACACGGUCCAGACUCCUACGGGAGGCAGAAGUAGGGAAUCUUCCGAAAUGGGCGAAAGCCUGACGGAGCAACGCCGCGUGAGUGAUGAAGGUCUUCGGAUCGUAAAACUCUGUUAUUAGGGAAGAACAUAUGUGUAAGUAAUUGUGCACAUCUUGACGGUACCUAAUCAGAAAGCCACGGCUAACUACGUG